UACCAACCCUCCGAGUGGUAGGGAAGAUUAUUUGGCUUAAAGCGUCCGUAGCUGGCUGGGUAAGUUUCCCGUUAAAUCCAGCGUCUCAAGCGUUGGACUGCGGGAAAUACUGCCUGGCUAGAGAGUGGGAGAGGUGUACGGUAUUCUGGGGGUAGGGGCGAAAUCCUUUGAUCCCCGGAGGACCACCAGUGGCGAAGGCUGUACACUAGAACACGUCUGACGGUCAGGGACGAAAGCUGGGGUAGCGAACCGGAUUAGAUACCCGGGUAGUCCCAGCUGUAAACGAUGCAUGCUAGGUGUUGGGUUGGCCACGAGCCACCCCCAGUGCCGCAGGGAAGCCGUUAAGCAUGCCGCCUGGGAAGUACGAUCGCAAGAUUGAAACUUAAAGGAAUUGGCGGGGGAGCACCACCAGGCGUGAAGCCUGCGGUUU
This 430-nucleotide ribosomal RNA is filed under the name uncultured archaeon. RNAcentral's name for it is "bacterial SSU rRNA". It matches the Rfam family "Archaeal small subunit ribosomal RNA", at positions 474 to 903 of the family's 1478-position model. The record is from RNAcentral.